This 711-nucleotide unclassified non-coding RNA is filed under the name Hevea brasiliensis (rubber tree). Lineage: Eukaryota; Viridiplantae; Streptophyta; Magnoliopsida; Malpighiales; Euphorbiaceae. The record is from RNAcentral.
CCUUACUAAACCUAUAUUAAAAUUCCUUCCAAUUACAAACAAAUGAUAUGUUCUUCUGUUGCUCAUAACUGUGAGGAAUUUUGAAUCACAAAUAAUUUUCACGGAGCAAUGGAACGGGAUUAUCUACAAAAUAAUUAAACUAUGUAUAUCUUGCACAAAGGUUCAUUUUCAUCUUCUAAACUUUUACAUAAAUAUCCUAGGUUCAACCGGUUGGCAAAUUCUGCUAAUGUAAGCUUAACUGUCUUAUGUCACCCCCUUCUCUUAGGGAAAUGAACAACAUAUGACUCUCCAACUGAACUGCAUCUAUGCGCGUUUUACUGCUGAAUUCCAAUGGAUUACUGUUGGCCUUCCAUUUCCAUGAUCCGUUUAAUAUGAAGGGCAGCUCUCACAACAUUUCCCCUUGUUAUUAUUCCCACCAGCUUUCCAUCACUAUCUACAACAGGAAGCCGGCGGUAUUUUGUUUUGAGCAGAAGUCUUGCUGCAUCCUCUAGAUUGGUGGACUCCCUAACUACUAGUGGAGCAGGCGUCAUCAAAUCACCAACCACUUUCCCCUUGGUCUUACUUAUCAACUUUUGAACCUCAUUGAAUGUUUUCCAGUUGCUGCCCACUUCGGGGAACAUGUUUGCAUCAGCUCCUCCUGUACCUGAUACAGAAUCCAGAGCCAAUAGAUCAUAAUCAGAAACAAGACCAACCAAUUUCCAGUCAUCAUCA